Molecule: ribosomal RNA, 540 nt
Filed under: Triticum aestivum (bread wheat)
Lineage: Eukaryota; Viridiplantae; Streptophyta; Magnoliopsida; Poales; Poaceae
Description: partial small subunit ribosomal RNA
Source: RNAcentral
AUGCGGAUCAUUGUGCAAUGCUUAUGUGAAAUCUCAAUCCAAAACUUAUUCGUUUCGUUGGAAAAACCGACACCGACGUCAAGAUCAGUCUCCUUUCCUUUCUCUUUAGUUUGGGAGCAGAGCUUAAAAAGAUGGGGGGUCACGAUGGAUCCUUUUUUUAUCCCUGAUUCCAUGGACGGAAUGAUUGUGGAAUUUAACCCUUCGUCGUCAUACUCAAACUCGGUCAAUGGGCCGGCUUUUAGUGUAGAAAGUGUGAGUUCGAACUACAUGGAGGUGGAGGAAUCAAUAAAUUCCCCUCCUCCCCCUAAUCCAAACCCUUAUUCUCAGAUUCUGGAUUUAGUCGCCGCAAAUGCAAAUAUGGAUUACUUUCACUUCUCUCAAAUGCAGAUGUUUUACCAAAUGCAAAUGUUUUAUCAAAUGCAAAUGUUUUAUCAAAUGCAUUUGAAUUAUUUUAGCAGCCAGCCGCUUUUGCCUAUGGUACCUAUGUAUGUUCAUUUUUUUAUGUCUUUUUAUAUGCGGUUUUGGUAUUUUCCCUUCUAA